This is a non-coding RNA of Paramuricea clavata, 462 nucleotides long. NCBI's taxonomy places the organism in Eukaryota, Metazoa, Cnidaria, Anthozoa, Malacalcyonacea, Plexauridae. The record is from the annotation of a GenBank genome assembly.
CGUCAGCGUGCUGGCUUCACUCCACGCUGUUAAUUGCAUGCUAGAUUUCCGCGUGUUGUUUGUGUAGGUGCCGAGAGACGUGCUCAGAGAUUUGAUCAUGUCCAGAGAAUGUUGAGCAACACUUCCUUGACAGAGCAUUGUCAACUGCUGAGGGCAUGAACAUAUGAUCACUUUUUAAUGAACCAGGGAAGCGUCACGCACAAAACAACAUUUAAGCAGUAUAAACAAAGAGAGAGAAGAGAAUAUUGAUUAUUGGAUGUUUAUUAAAAGUGCUAGAUUCUAGUACGUUUCAAGUAUUUAGUACUCAUGUACAAAAGGUGUGUAUGAAAGUUUUGUUUUAUACGACUGUCGAGCUAGUCAACCUAGAUCUUCUUCUUGUUGAUUUCAGCCAGCAGAUGGCGGUAUUAAUAAUAAAACCUCAGAAUUGUUGACAUUCUGCAAGAAAAUUAAUAAUUAAACUAC